UCGGGUAUGGUGUAGCGGGAACACGGCCUCUCGUGUUAUUGUUGAUAUGUGCGUCAGAGGCAGUUCAGGGUUCGAAUCCCUGUGUCUGAA
Non-coding RNA from Mycena vulgaris, 90 nucleotides. Lineage: Eukaryota; Fungi; Basidiomycota; Agaricomycetes; Agaricales; Mycenaceae. The record is from the annotation of a GenBank genome assembly.